RNAcentral lists this ribosomal RNA (549 nucleotides) under uncultured Glomus. RNAcentral's name for it is "SSU rRNA". It matches the Rfam family "Eukaryotic small subunit ribosomal RNA", at positions 548 to 1098 of the family's 1831-position model. Lineage: Eukaryota; Fungi; Glomeromycota; Glomeromycetes; Glomerales; Glomeraceae. The record is from RNAcentral.
UUGGAGGGCAAGUCUGGUGCCAGCAGCCGCGGUAAUUCCAGCUCCAAUAGCGUAUAUUAAAGUUGUUGCAGUUAAAAAGCUCGUAGUUGAAUUUCGGGGUUAGUAGGUUGGUCAUGCCUCUGGUAUGUACUGGUCUCACUGAAUCCUCCUUCCUGAUGAACCGUAAUGCCAUUAAUUUGGUGUUGCGGGGAAUUUGGACUGUUACUUUGAAAAAAUUAGAGUGUUUAAAGCAAGCUAACGCUUGAAUACAUUAGCAUGGAAUAAUGAAAUAGGACGUUCGAUCCUAUUUUGUUGGUUUCUAGGAUUGACGUAAUGAUUAAUAGGGAUAGUUGGGGGCAUUAGUAUUCAAUUGUCAGUGGUGAAAUUCUUGGAUUUAUUGAAGACUAACUACUGCGAAAGCAUUUGCCAAGGAUGUUUUCAUUAAUCAAGAACGAAAGUUAGGGGAUCGAAGACGAUCAGAUACCGUCGUAGUCUUAACCAUAAACUAUGCCGACUAGGGAUCGGAUGAUGUUAAUUUUUUAAUGAAUCGUUCGGCACCUUACGGGAAAC